This 460-nucleotide ribosomal RNA is filed under the name uncultured bacterium. RNAcentral describes it as "partial 16S ribosomal RNA". It matches the Rfam family "Bacterial small subunit ribosomal RNA", at positions 338 to 795 of the family's 1533-position model. The record is from RNAcentral.
CCUACGGGUGGCAGCAGUGAGGAAUAUUGGUCAAUGGACGAAAGUCUGACCCAGCCAAGCCGCGUGAGGGAUGACUGUCUUCUGAUCUUAAAACUCUUUUUAUAAAGGAAUACGACUAGGCUCGUGUGCCUUUUUGCAUGUACUUUAUUAUUAAGGGAAGGCUAACUCCACGCCAGUCGCCGCGGCAAUACGGAGGCUCCGGUCGUUAUCCGGAUUUGUUGGGUUUAAAGGGAACGUAGGUGGGUUGUUAAGUCAGUUGUGAAAGGGUGCGGCUCAAGCGUGAAAUUGCAUUUGAUACUGGCAAACUUGAGUGUAGGAGAGGAUGGCGGAAUUCGAGGUGUAGCGGUGAAAUGCGUAGAUAUCACGAGGAACACCGAUGGCGAAGGCAGCUAUCUAACCUGUAACUGACGCUGAUGCGCGAAAGCGUGGGUAGCAAACAGGAUUAGAUACCCCAGUAGUC